CUUAUACAUGCAAGUCGAACGAAGCUUUCGGGCUUAGUGGCGCACGGGUGCGUAACGCGUAUGCAAUUUACCUUUUACAGGGGGACAACACUAGGAAACUGGUGCUAAUACCGCGUAAUAAAUAGAGAGGCAUCUUUUUAUUUUAAAAGAAUUUCGGUAAGAGAUAAGCAUGCGUCCCAUUAGCUAGUUGGUAAGGUAACGGCUUACCAAGGCCACGAUGGGUAGGGGAACUGAGAGGUUUAUCCCCCACACUGGUACUGAGAUACGGACCAGACUCCUACGGGAGGCAGCAGUAAGGAAUAUUGGGCAAUGGGCGAGAGCCUGACCCAGCCAUGCCGCGUGCAGGAUGACGCUCCUCGUUGGGUGUAAACUGCUUUUAUUAGGGAAGAACAAGUUUCUGCGGAGACAACUGACGGUACCUAAUGAAUAAGCACCGGCUAACUACGUGCCAGCAGCCGCGGUAAUACGUAGGGUGCAAGCGUUGUCCGGAUUUAUUGGGUUUAAAGGGUGUGUAGGCGGUCUAGUAAGUUUUGGGUGAAAGCCCACCGCUCAACGGUGGAACUGCCUGAGAUACUGCUAGACUUGAGUAUAGUUAAAGUUACUAGAAUUGGUGGUGUAGCGGUGAAAUGCAUAGAUACCACCAGGAAUACCAAUUGCGAAGGCAGGUAACUAGCCUAUAACUGACGCUGAGGCACGAAAGCAUGGGUAGCGAACAGGAUUAGAUACCCUGGUAGUCCAUGCUGUAAACGAUGAGGACUCGGUGUUGGCAUUUAUGUCAGUGCCUAAGGGAAACCGAUA
Molecule: ribosomal RNA, 798 nt
Filed under: uncultured bacterium
Lineage: Bacteria
Description: bacterial SSU rRNA
Rfam family: Bacterial small subunit ribosomal RNA
Source: RNAcentral